GUCUGUGGCUAUAAUACCCGGAAUGCACCUAAUCUCAUCUGAUCUUAGAAGCUAAGCAGGGUCAGCUUCUUGGUUAGUAUGUGGAUGGGAGACAUGGGAGACUGCCUGGGAAUACCAGGUGCUAUAGGCU
RNAcentral lists this ribosomal RNA (130 nucleotides) under Microcebus murinus (gray mouse lemur). Lineage: Eukaryota; Metazoa; Chordata; Mammalia; Primates; Cheirogaleidae. The record is from RNAcentral.